Molecule: long non-coding RNA, 1022 nt
Filed under: Heterocephalus glaber (naked mole-rat)
Lineage: Eukaryota; Metazoa; Chordata; Mammalia; Rodentia; Bathyergidae
Description: lncRNA (ENSHGLG00000041519.1)
Source: RNAcentral
CUUGGAAGUGGGCAGUCUGGAAGUCACUCGGGCCACUGGAGCUGGCGGCGUCUCCAGCGAUCGGCGCCGGGCCGAACGCUGCGGUCCACGGGCCCGCGGGGCGGGUGGCUAGGACUCCCAGCACUGUGCAAAAGGAUGAACCCAUGGAGUCCUCACCACAGCGCAUGAGGCCAGCCUCUCAUCCCCAUUGUGCUAAAGCACAAAGAGGUAAAAUAACUUACCUGUUAAGUGCCCAGCAAGUGAGGAAUUGACCUGGGAAUCUGGCUAUGGUCACUUCACCGAAGCUCAGACUUUUUACUCUAUGCCAUGUUUGGCCCCUUUUUUUUCAUUAGUAUACUUCUCAAACAAUAUUAUUUUUACUGGGAGCUCAGUGGUAGAAUGCAUGUGUAGCAUGUGAAAGGCCCUUGGUUCAAUCUCUAGCAUAAAUAAAUAAAUGGAUAAAGGACCAAACAAACGAAUGAAAUUAUUUUUAUUGAGUUGCACAUGGUACAGUAUUUAAAAAUAAAAGGUCAGGUUUUUUUUCAUACUCAAAUCCUCCAUAGCAGCAGCCACUAUGACCUCUUUCUUUCAUCUUUGUUUGGAAAUUCUCUGUGUCUAUACAAGCAAAUAUAUAAACAGAAUAGCCAUAUUCCAUACCAGAGGUGGUAAACUACAACCCACAGGCCAGAUUUGGCCCAGGGUCAGUUGUUGUUUGGCCUGGGAGCUAAGAAUAGGCUCGAUGUUUUCACAGGGUUGAAAAAAAAAUCAGAAGAUUUCAUAACAUGUCAGACGAUUUGAAAUUCAGGUUUCAGUGCCCAUAAAUAAAGUUUUAUGGAACACAGCCAUGCUUGUUUGGUUAUGUAGUUUGGCUGCUUUCAGAGUUGAGCAGUUGCAGUAGAGAAAGAUGACCCCAAGCCUACAUUAUUUAUCCUCUGGUUCCUUCCAGAAAAAGUUUGUCAUCUUUGCACUCCACACUUUCUUUCCUGCGGAACUAUAGUACUUCUUGCCUGCUUUGUUCCCUCCCUAUCCCCUGUCGCCUGUCC